CAGACUUAAGCCCGCUGGAUGGGGUGCUUAGCUGUUAACUAAGAGAUUACGGGAUCAAGGCCCGUUUGUCUGG
Molecule: transfer RNA, 73 nt
Filed under: Tiliqua rugosa (stump-tailed skink)
Lineage: Eukaryota; Metazoa; Chordata; Lepidosauria; Squamata; Scincidae
Description: tRNA-Asn
Source: RNAcentral